Syngnathus acus (greater pipefish) is the source of this 315-nucleotide long non-coding RNA. RefSeq lists it as uncharacterized. NCBI's taxonomy places the organism in Eukaryota, Metazoa, Chordata, Actinopteri, Syngnathiformes, Syngnathidae. The record is from RefSeq and is a predicted model, not a curated record. The transcript has 3 exons.
GAGAUGAGGCACACAUCUGGACAAAAAGUCAACAGCUUCCAGACGAGUGGGGAGGAGGCUUCGGAAAAAGAUGAACACCACAGCCUAGCAUACUGCAUAACUGUGGCUUUUUUUUUUCUUUUUUGGACAGCUUCACUCUACUUCCUGCAGAGAAGAAGACAUUCACAAUGCUGUCGCGCCAUCCUGCUUCAUCCUGCAGACGGAUUUGCAGCUCAGUAGAGAAAUACGUCACUCUGGAUAUGCUAAAUCCGUCAUUGAUCCGCGUUAGAGGCGUGCAGUCCCCACGGUGGUCGGAUGAGGAUGCAGCUUUUCCAG